GAUGAAGAACGCAGCGAAAUGCGAUAAGUAAUGUGAAUUGCAGAAUUCAGUGAACCAUCGAAUCUUUGAACGCACAUUGCGCCAGGCAGUAAUCUGCCGGGCAUGCCUGUCCGAGCGUCAUUUCUGCCCUCGAGCGAGUCCAGCAUCUAGGUGCUGGGCCCGCCCGGCGUUGGGGCACUACGGGGAGCCCUGUGCUGUCCCCCGUAGGCCCCGAAAUGAAGUGGCGGUCCUGCCGCGGCGCCCCCUGCAUAGUAUAACAGCUAGCUUCGGGACCCGGUGGAGGCCUGCCGUCAAACCUUACUCUCUAAGUUUGACCUCGGAUCAGGUAGGGUUACCCGCUGAACUUAAGCAUAUCAAUAAGCGGAGGA
This 368-nucleotide unclassified non-coding RNA is filed under the name soil metagenome. RNAcentral describes it as "partial contains 5.8S ribosomal RNA, internal transcribed spacer 2, and large subunit ribosomal RNA". The stretch from base 1 to 120 matches the Rfam family "5.8S ribosomal RNA", at positions 35 to 154 of the family's 154-position model. The record is from RNAcentral.